UCCAAAUUGUGGGAAACAAUGUGGGAUUCCUCCGCUGAUAGGCUUCUUGCCAUUGAACGCCGCAUCCGGUCUAACGAAGAGGAGAUCUUUGCCAUUGGGGACCUUCCAUGACGUAAUGCAACCACCAAACAGGUAAAUUUCAGCCUCACUGCCAUGAACUGAGCUCAACGAGACCUUCGGAAGCCCUCCGUUCCCUUCCACAAGCUUCACCCCGGGAGCAGCAGUCUUCAGAUCCAAACUGGCCAUGGUGACUCCGACAGACCUGAAUUGGCGCCGGG
RNAcentral lists this unclassified non-coding RNA (278 nucleotides) under Hevea brasiliensis (rubber tree). The record is from RNAcentral. Lineage: Eukaryota; Viridiplantae; Streptophyta; Magnoliopsida; Malpighiales; Euphorbiaceae.